Molecule: ribosomal RNA, 500 nt
Filed under: uncultured bacterium
Lineage: Bacteria
Description: partial 16S ribosomal RNA
Rfam family: Bacterial small subunit ribosomal RNA
Source: RNAcentral
GAUUAACGCUAGCGGCAGGCAUAAUACAUGCAAGUUGAACGAGAUAAGUUUUAGCAAUAGAACUUUGAAAGUGGCGCACGGGUGCGUAACACGUAUGCAACCUACCUUUUACUGGGGAAUAGCCUCUCGAAAGAGAGAUUAAUACCCCAUAAUAUAUUGAUAAGGCAUCUUAUUAAUAUUAAAGUUACGGCGGUAAAAGAUGGGCAUGCGGCUGAUUAGGUAGUUGGUGAGGUAAUGGCUCACCAAGCCGACGAUCAGUAGGGGGUCUGAGAGUAUGUCCCCCCACACUAGUACUGAGACACGGACCAGACUCCUACGGGAGGCAGCAGUAGGGAAUAUUGGACAAUGGGCGCAAGCCUGAUCCAGCCAUGCCGCGUGCAGGAUGAAGGCUCUAUGGGUCGUAAACUGCUUUUGUACGGGAAGAAACCUCACUACGUGUAGUGAGUUGACGGUACCGUGAGAAUAAGGAUCGGCUAACUUCGUGCCAGCAGCCGCGGUAA